CCUACGGGCGGCAGCAGCAACGAAUCUUCCGCAAUGGGCGCAAGCCUGACGGAGCAAUGCCGCGUGUGGGAUCAAGUCCUUCGGGAUGUAAACCACUGUCAGGGUCUACUAAAUAAAUGAACAGACCCAGAGGAAGUGGCGACUAACUCUGUGCCAGCAGUCGCGGUAAUACAGAGGCCACAAGCGUUAGUCGGAAUUACUGGGCUUAAAGGGCGCGUAGGCGGACGGAUAAGUGCCUUGUGAAAUCCCAUGUCUCAACCAUGGAACCGCUGGGCAGACUGUUCGUCUUGAGGCUGGUAGGGGUUGCUGGAACUGUAGGUGGAGCGGUGAAAUGCGUAGAUACCUACAGGAACGCCAAUGGUGAAGACAGGCAACUGGGCCAGACCUGACGCUGAGGCACGAAAGCGUGGGGAGCAAACAGGAUUAGAUACCCGAUGUAGUC
Molecule: ribosomal RNA, 442 nt
Filed under: Escherichia coli
Lineage: Bacteria; Pseudomonadati; Pseudomonadota; Gammaproteobacteria; Enterobacterales; Enterobacteriaceae
Description: bacterial SSU rRNA
Rfam family: Bacterial small subunit ribosomal RNA
Source: RNAcentral